GCCUAGCCGUAAACUUUAAAUUACACCCACAUCGCCAGGGAACUACGAGCAAAGCUUAAAACCCAAAGGACUUGACGGUACCCCAUAUCCACCUAGAGGAGCCUGUCCUAUAAUCGAUACCCCCCGCUAAACCUCACCACUUUUAGUCUACUCAGCCUGUAUACCUCCGUCGUCAGCUUACCACGUGAGCGCAACUUAGUGAGCUUAAUGCCCGUGCGCCAAUACGUCAGGUCAAGGUGCAGCAAAUGAAGUGGGAAGAGAUGGGCUACACUCUCUAACAUAGAAAAAACGGAAGAUUAUUUAUGAAACCUAAUCUAAAGGCGGAUUUAGAAGUAAAAAGAAAAAAGAAUGUCCUUUUUAACCCGGCACUGGGGUGUGUACACACCGCCCGUCACCCUCUUCAUAGCUACCAAAAAGUAAAUAACCAACUAACGCAAUACAGAAGAGGCAAGUCGUAACAUGGUAAGUAUACCGGAAGGUGUGCUUGGAAA
Molecule: ribosomal RNA, 491 nt
Filed under: Vitreorana uranoscopa (Humboldt's glass frog)
Lineage: Eukaryota; Metazoa; Chordata; Amphibia; Anura; Centrolenidae
Description: partial small subunit ribosomal RNA
Rfam family: Bacterial small subunit ribosomal RNA
Source: RNAcentral